Molecule: ribosomal RNA, 256 nt
Filed under: uncultured bacterium
Lineage: Bacteria
Description: partial 16S ribosomal RNA
Rfam family: Bacterial small subunit ribosomal RNA
Source: RNAcentral
UACGGGGGGAGCAAGCGUUGUUCGGAUUUACUGGGCGUAAAGGGCGCGUAGGCGGUCGUGACAAGUCACUUGUGAAAUCUCCGGGCUUAACUCGGAACGGUCAAGUGAUACUGUCGGACUAGAGUACAGAAGGGGCAACUGGAAUUCUCGGUGUAGCGGUGAAAUGCGUAGAUAUCGGGAGGAACACCAGUGGCGAAGGCGGCUUCCUGGCCUGUUCUUGACGCUGAGGCGCGGAAAGCUAGGGGAGCAAACGGGG